Long non-coding RNA from Coregonus clupeaformis (lake whitefish), 621 nucleotides. RefSeq lists it as uncharacterized. Lineage: Eukaryota; Metazoa; Chordata; Actinopteri; Salmoniformes; Salmonidae. The record is from RefSeq and is a predicted model, not a curated record. The transcript is spliced from 2 exons.
AGACAAGCUCUUCAAGGCGGGAGCGUCCUUCCAGAGAGGCUGUGACAAGUGCUUUUGUCACGAGUUUGGCUUCUUCUGCUUUUCGCCAAAUAAGCCCACGUCGUGGCCUAAUAAGUGUCAGCGGCUGAUGACAGAGUGUGGCUACAGGGUCGUCUACAAGCACAGCCCAGAGCUGGAGUGUCGGGCCUAUAGCUGGAUCGGUUGAUUAUCCAGCAUUCUAUGCCUCUGUCUGCACAAUAUAUAGACAGCAAGAACUGUCAAUAUCACCUUCAGAGACGGUUAAAUCUACAGUACAGCUUCACAUUGAUGCAAAAUAAUUUCCUAAUGAAAUAAGUGUAAUAUAGUCUUUCUUCCAGGACCUAAUUGCUGUACUUGCAUACAGUUCCAGUGUAUUGGGUUCAAUAUAAGUUCAUUCAGAUAGUGAUAUUAUCUGUUCUGAUGUUCACACCCAAAGGCUCUGUUCUAUUGUUAAUUCUCGCUCAAGAAGGAGAUUGCUCAUGAAUGGUUGGUUGUUGUAAAAACAUCAGCAUCUUUUUGUCUUAAGGAAAUGUAUAUAUUUCAUAUGUAUAUGCUUGUAAAUUAAAUGUUAUUAUUCUUUUUCCAUUAAAGAGCUCCCUCUUA